RNAcentral lists this ribosomal RNA (301 nucleotides) under uncultured bacterium. RNAcentral's name for it is "partial 16S ribosomal RNA". It matches the Rfam family "Bacterial small subunit ribosomal RNA", at positions 509 to 807 of the family's 1533-position model. The record is from RNAcentral.
CAGCAGCCGCGGUAAUACGUAGGGUCCGAGCGUUGUCCGGAAUUAUUGGGCGUAAAGGGCUCGUAGGCGGUUUGUCGCGUCGGGAGUGAAAACCAGCAGCUUAACUGCUGGCCUGCUUUCGAUACGGGCAGACUUGAGGCAUUCAGGGGAGAACGGAAUUCCUGGUGUAGCGGUGAAAUGCGCAGAUAUCAGGAGGAACACCGGUGGCGAAGGCGGUUCUCUGGGAAUGUUCUGACGCUGAGGAGCGAAAGUGUGGGGAGCGAACAGGAUUAGAGACCCCAGUAGUCCCUGUCUCUUAUAC